GUGAAUUUUGUCCACCAGCUCUUGGUUCCCAAGUGCCUUUGAAUGAAUUUGAGUUGCUUACUGGUCUUCCUCCUUCUCCUACUUUCCAGUUCCUAGGUGAUGCUGAUGCUGCUGGUCCAGGGAUCACAGUUUAAGAACCGCUGGCCUAGACCAAGAGUGUGUUUACAGAAGUCCGGAUUCCAGGGUUCAUGAGCUCAGCCACAGAAAUACCACCCUGCAGAGAAAACUUUGACCUAAACAAACCAUCACAAGCUCCACCUUUCUACGCCCGGGAUAUCUCGCAGGGUAGCAACUGUGAGUGUGCUUCCAAACCUUCCAGAGAAAGUUUUCCUUUCCUUCAGCCGAGGCUGCAUUUUUCUACCUAAUGAGGUCCUGUGACUUGCAGCCCCCAUUUCUGGAGGCACCACAGUCUUCCAGAAAGGCUGGCUGGGAGAAUGCUAAGACUCAAGAGAUAAUAGAGUCAGGUGAGUGGAUAAACCAAGUGUGUUGUAGACACACAACAGAAUAUUCCUCAACUUCAGAAGGAAGGAAGGCUGAUGUACUUCAUACCAUGGAUGAGCCUGGAGGGCAUUACCCAAAGUGAAAGAAGCCAGACACAAAAGGACAAACACUGGAGAUUUCUUCCCUGGACGACAGAGUUGUCAGAUUUAUGGAGACAAAAAGA
Molecule: long non-coding RNA, 664 nt
Filed under: Homo sapiens (human)
Lineage: Eukaryota; Metazoa; Chordata; Mammalia; Primates; Hominidae
Description: HSALNT0374719
Source: RNAcentral